This 2507-nucleotide long non-coding RNA is filed under the name Lactuca sativa (garden lettuce). RNAcentral's name for it is "long non-coding RNA (LSAT_LNC009204)". Lineage: Eukaryota; Viridiplantae; Streptophyta; Magnoliopsida; Asterales; Asteraceae. The record is from RNAcentral.
GAUCAUCCCACGUUUUGUGUAUCCAGCCUCAUGGAGAUAUUGUGGUAUUUGAGUCGUCUUCCCUGAACCAGUUUCACCAACAAUUAUAAGAACCUGAUGAUCUUCAACAGCUUUUAGCAAAGACUCUCGAUACGGAUACACAGGUAAAGUUUUUCUGUCUGCAAGAAGCUUCUCGCGUGCUGAUUUUGCUAUGAUUCUUUCAUGUUCUUCCUCUUCCUCUUCAUCAACAUUGACACCACCCAUGACUUGUUCCUGUAUGAACUCAAUCUGGUCCUCAAACACAAAGUUAUAAUCGUCAGAUUGCCUUUUGUUUUUUGAUCCAAAUUUUAGCGUUGCUUUGUUAAUCUGAUGAUCCUCCCAUGCUUCUUGUUCGGCAAACAGAUUCAUCUUAUCUCCAUCUUUUGAAUCUAUGUAUCGCUCCAAAGCUACAGCAAAUCUUUUCUCUUGAUUGACUCCGCCUUCUUCAUCAUAUGCAUCAGGCAUAUGAUACUCAUUGACAUUAUCAUCCACUUGUGACCGCUUCUUGACUAGCUCAUAUACUUGUUUCUUGUAUCUUAGUUCACGUUGUUUGGCUUCAGUUAACUUGAAGCCCUCAAAUAGAUACUCUUCAUCUUCUAUAUCAUCUUUGAUUUCCUCCAUUUUCUUCUGCUCCCUUUUCUUGAGAUAUUCUUGCCUCGAAACUUUUCUUAAAGCUCGAAUGUCAUCAUCUUUCAAGGCAUUGGCUCUCCUGAUUGCUUCUUUUUCAUCCCUCUUAGACAACUUCUGUUCAGUCAGCUUUCUUAUCCUUGAUGCAUCUUUUUCCCUUAAACGACGCUCCAAAUCUUCUCGUUCUAUUUGGUCACGUAAUCUUUCUUCUUCAGAUUCAGAAUAAUCUGAUUUUUCAUGAGAAGAUUUUUGUUUGACCCUUCUUUCUUGUUUCAAAAUUCCAGCUCCCUCAUCAUCAUCAUCAUCAUCAUCAUCAUCUUGGUUUUGGCUCCUCUUCCUAAAUCGUUUCACAUCUUUAUCGACAACAGAAACAGAGCCACCAGGCACAUCUUUGGCAUCAUCGUCAUCUGCCUCCAAUAGCGUGCAAGUGAUCCUCUGCUUCCUGGUUAGCAUUGGUGCAGCCUCUUCUUGUUGUCGAUAAAGAUUUGAUCCAGAACUCUUGUGUUCAACUUUCUGGAAAAUUUCUUCAGCAAAUACACGUGUUUCGUUUGAAGAUGGCACACCCAUAUCUUUACGAUUACUAAAUAUACCAUAAGAUGAUGAAUCUUUAUUAACUAAACUAAUUAGGGAAUAAUAUGGACUGAAUCAGCGUGGGUUGUGAAUAUCCCAAAAGGGGGAUCAGUCUUUUUAAACCCCAACUCCCCAAGUGUUCAAGUUAAACGUAUUGGACAAGUUCCGUGUUGAACAAGUAACUGGUCAAACAAAGCCACCUUUUCAGGCUUCUAAAACAUGUUAAAUUAGGGUUAUUGGAUGAGUAAAUUACAUGACUGGUCCCUAUGGUUUGGGGUAAUUUACGCGUUUGGUUCUUAGCUUAUUUUUUUUAACUUAGAAGGUCCUUACUGUUUGUUUUUGUUACGUGUUUAGUUCCUAUUGUUUAUUUUUGUUACGCGUUUGGUCCCUUCUUUACCUAAAAAAACUAUUAUUUAAAUAAGAAAAAAUGGUGGGGUAGAUAAGGUAAGGUGAAAGGGGUGUGGUUGGGGAGUGUUUAUUUAAAUAAAUUAAAGACAAAAUUGCAAAAAUGGUCCAUGUGGUAUGCAAAAUUUUGGGGUUUUAGUCCAAACCACGAGUUUUUUGGAACCAUAGUCCUUUUGGAGUGGUUUCUAUGUGGUUUUGGUCCCUGGACUUAACUCCCAUUAAGUUGGAACUGUUAAGCCCCCUCACGUGCCUCACACGUGAGGGUAAUUUCGUCAUUUCAUAUAUCAAGGACCAUUUUUGCAUAAACGUUUUUUUGGAUUAAUUCCUUUUAAAUACCCCCACUUCCUGCGAUCUUCUUCCCCAACGUCUCUUUUCUUCUACCCUUCUUCUUCUUGAGCUCUGCUACAACAAAAAUGGUGUUAUGUUUUUGUGGAAAAGUUGCUGUGGUGAAAACGUCUUGGACCCCUCUGAAUCCAUGAAGGAGAUUUUUUGCAUGCCCUAUGAAUGAUUCCGUUUGUGGGUUUAUUGGGUGGCUUGAUCCCCCAAUGUGUGCUAGGUCUAAAGCCAUCAUACCUGGUCUGCUAAGAAAUUUGAAUUCAGUGUAGGAACGGUGCAAUGAGUUGGUUAGAGGUAUGAACAUGCUACAGGAUCAAUGCAAUGGACUGAUAUGCAUGAACAACAUUUUGGUGGCAAAUGUCAGAGCAUUGAAGGAUGAUAAUUUGAAGUUGAAAAUGUACAUGUUUGGAAGUUGGUUUUUCUUUGUGAUUGUAUUCUUUUAUAUUUGGUUUGUGUAGGGGUAUACUCUGAAGGGUGUUUUGGUCAUUUUUUUGUAAUUUUAUGUGAUCAAGUUUGUAGUGACUUAUGAUGAUAAUGAUAUAUGUACAAUU